Molecule: ribosomal RNA, 243 nt
Filed under: uncultured Eubacteriales bacterium
Lineage: Bacteria; Bacillati; Bacillota; Clostridia; Eubacteriales
Description: uncultured Clostridiales bacterium partial 16S ribosomal RNA
Rfam family: Bacterial small subunit ribosomal RNA
Source: RNAcentral
CACGCCGUAAACGAUGGGUACUAGGUGUUGGGUGUCAAAGCUCAGUGCCGCAGUUAACACAAUAAGUACCCCGCCUGGGGAGUACGUUCGCAAGAAUGAAACUCAAAGGAAUUGACGGGGACCCGCACAAGCGGUGGAGCAUGUGGUUUAAUUCGACGCAACGCGAAGAACCUUACCAAGGCUUGACAUCCCUUGACGGUCUAAGAGAUUAGAUUUUCUUUUCGGAGACAAGGAGACAGGUGG